This 2102-nucleotide long non-coding RNA is filed under the name Marmota monax (woodchuck). The record is from RNAcentral. Lineage: Eukaryota; Metazoa; Chordata; Mammalia; Rodentia; Sciuridae.
GGGGUCCUGUUGGGUUCUAAGUACAUGCACCGUGGUGGGGUUGCUGGAUCCCCUUCUUUUCCUUAAGCUCAUAAGCUCAAAAUUGUUUUUCUUCUCUGAGCGGCUGGCCCAGGAUGAGCCUAUCAGCAAAAGCCCCUGCAUGGCUUCCGUGUUGCACCAUCCUGCCACACUCUGGGCCUUGGUUUGUUUUUCUGUGAAAUUGGGGUGACAGCUGAGGGUUGGGGGAUGCGGCCAGUGGCCCAGCUUUAGGGCCCCCCCCCCCGGAAAUCAGGGUUUCGCAGCAGCCCUGGUGGGCAAAGGCAGAGGAUGUCAGGGAGCUGGACAGGCCUGCGGCUAAGGUGCCACUCACACCUCAGCCUGCGGGCUGCUGCGUACUGCCACCCCCGCCCCACUGUCCCCACCAGGCUGGCCACCCAAGACAGCCUCCUGCAGCAGGAACACGGCUGCCUGGAAACCUGCAGAUGGCUCAGGACCUCAUUCUACCAGGGUAGGGAGGGACUGAGGCCUCAAAAUUCAGGUCCUGAAUUUUGGCCACAGUGGCCACGCUUGUGACUCAGGAGGCUGAGGCAGGAGGAUCACAAGUUGAGGCCAACCCAGGCAACCUAUUGAGACCUUGUCUCAAAAUAAAAAAAAUUAAAAGGGCUGGACAUGUAGGUCAGUGGUAGAGCACUCCUGGGUUCAAUCUCCAGUACCCCCUGCCCCCCAAAUCAAUCAAUCAAUCCAGGUCCUAAUGCAGGUGGACGCCGUCCCCACUCCUGGUCUCUGGCCUUCCUGAGCCACCAACACCAGUCCCAUGAGAAUUGUGAGUGCCUGCCAAAGCCACAGGAACUGGUCUGCCAGGGCUCAGCUCUGCUUGAACCUAGAGCAACGUGAACUGAACAUUCUAUUGACAAGCUUUUUUGUUUCCCUCUGUAAACCCCUAGGCCAGAUGGACCCACACGAACAUCCACCCUGGGCUGGGGAUCACACCUGGUGACAGCCUGGUCUAGCAUGUGUGAGGCCCUGGUCGCAUCCCCAACACCAGGGGAAAAGCAAAAAAGUCAGUUAGAGGGAACCACUCCACCUCCAGGACCAGGAGCCACAUUCUUCCCGAGUGCAGGGAGUGUCCCCAGGACGGGCCACAGGACGGGCCUCAAUCCACUGAAAAGCACAGAAACGAUACAAAGUACGAUCUCCGACCUCAAAGGAAUGAGGGUGGAAAUCAAAACCAGAGACGCUGGGCAACCUCAGAAAUCCCUGCAAGUUGGAGAACACACAGCUCGGCACAGGGCGGAGCUGCCAGCAGGUCACCCAGUCCUGGCAGAGGGGAGGCCUGCAGGGCUGGGGGCCCGGGCUCUGCAGACCUGGGGGCGGGGGGCCUGCAGCGCCUGGGGCUGUGGCCUCCACGUGGGUGACCCUGGAGGGACCCGAGAGCAGCUCCUGAGACUCCAAGGCUGCCCAUGGGGUUGCCCCGGGGUCUGCUUCUGCUGACACUCACCUGGGCACCAUCCUCCUGCUCCUCUAGAACAUUCUGGAAGCUCCCCGCCGCCCCUCCCCCUCCCGGCCCAUCUCUUCCCACAAGCCCCUGCUCCUCCCGGGGCCUGUUUUUCUUUCUUUCUUUUUGCCCCAAACCCUUCCUAUGUGUCCCAGGGAACCCCAGUGACCCCGAAGGCCUGCAGGGAUGGGGCUGGACUGUGCGGGGACCUGAAAGGAGGGAGCAGCUUGUGAGUGGGCACAGUGGCUUCGCCCCCGACGUCUACAGUGUGAAACAGAGUCCAGGCUGCCCGGGGGGAGGGGGCAGAGCUUCUGACCCUGGGCCCAGAGGGUGCUGCACGGUGUGGAGUGCAGUGUCACCGGCCCUGGUCACCCCGCUCUGCCACCGUCCUCUAGGCCCUGGGCUGCCCUGGGCUGGUGAGCAGCCGGGCGCUGGCAGCAGCUCUCCCACCUGUGCCCUCCUCGGGGACAGGGAGGGUCCUGCCUGGGGCUCUGGCCCCCCCAGGAGACGGCACGUUGAGGACGUCCAGCAGGGCGGCCUGCGGGCCACUCUGGACUGUCGCAGGCAAGCAGGGCAGAGCCUCCGCCCGACGAGCAGCCCGCACGCCCCGGACUGCCCUCGCCUCCGU